This is a non-coding RNA of Branchiostoma floridae (Florida lancelet), 94 nucleotides long. The record is from Rfam. Lineage: Eukaryota; Metazoa; Chordata; Leptocardii; Amphioxiformes; Branchiostomatidae.
GUUUAUUUGUGUGUGAAUGGUAUUCAGCACCAGGGACAGGCCUGUUUAUUUGUGUGUGGACGGUGUUUAGCACCAGGAACAGGUGUGUUUAUUU